GAUUUCUGGUCGGAUGCGCCUAGCCCGCCACGGUUUCGUGUGUGAGUGCUGGUGUGUGUCUACCAUCCUUCUAGUACAUCCUCUCCUCUUCAUUGAGGUGGAGGUCGUGUUCUAGAUCUUUUACUUUGAAAAAAUUAGAGUGUUUCAAGCAGGCAUGCCGCUAUGAAUACAUUAGCAUGGAAUAAUAAUUUAGGACUUCGGUUCUAUUUUGUUGGUUUCUAGGACGGAAGUAAUGAUUGAUAGGGAUAGUUGGGGGUGCUAGUAUUCAGUGGCCAGAGGUGAAAUUCUCGGAUUCCCUGAAGACUAACUUAUGCGAAAGCAUU
RNAcentral lists this ribosomal RNA (323 nucleotides) under uncultured Bodomorpha. RNAcentral describes it as "SSU rRNA". The stretch from base 53 to 323 matches the Rfam family "Eukaryotic small subunit ribosomal RNA", at positions 684 to 955 of the family's 1831-position model. The record is from RNAcentral. Lineage: Eukaryota; Cercozoa; Glissomonadida.